RNAcentral lists this transfer RNA (74 nucleotides) under Perkinsus olseni. Its description in RNAcentral is "tRNA-Ile". Lineage: Eukaryota; Perkinsozoa; Perkinsida; Perkinsidae. The record is from RNAcentral.
GCUGGAAUGGUCUAGUUGGUUAUGACGAGUGCCUAAUACGCAGUAGGUCCCGAGUUCGACUCUCGGUUACAGUA